CUUAAAGUACAACCUGCUCAAUGAAUCAAAUAAAUAGCCGCAGUUUUACUGUGCUAAGGUAGCAUAAUAACUUGCUUCUUAAUUAGAAGAUAGAAUGAAAGGUCACACAUUUAAAACUUGUUUCUUCUAAAAAAAUAAAAUUAAGAAAGAAGUCAAAACUCUUCUAUAAUAGGCGGGACGACAAGACCCUGACAAACUUCACAUUUAGUUGGGGAAACAUAUCAAAAACUCUUUAAUUUAUUUAAUUACAUAACUUUAAAAUUUAAUUUAGACUAGUUACUGCAGGGAUAACAGCGCUAUUUCUCUUAAGAGACCUUAUCUAAAGAGAAGAUUACGACCUCGAUGUUGAAUUAAUCAUCCUAAAUAACGCAAAAGUUAAUUAAGGUAGUCUGUUCGACUAUUAAAAGAUUACAUGAUUUGAGUUCAGAUCGGCAUAAGCCAGAUCGGUUUCUAUCUGCCAUAAUUCGUUAAUAGUACGAAAGGACCUUAAUAAAUAAUCUAAU
This 503-nucleotide ribosomal RNA is filed under the name Pholcus sp. Kazahstan. Its description in RNAcentral is "partial 16S ribosomal RNA". It matches the Rfam family "Bacterial large subunit ribosomal RNA", at positions 1892 to 2710 of the family's 2925-position model. Lineage: Eukaryota; Metazoa; Arthropoda; Arachnida; Araneae; Pholcidae. The record is from RNAcentral.